UACAGAGGUCUCAAGCGUUGUUCGGGUUCAUUGGGCGUAAAGGGUGCGUAGGUGGCAUGGUAAGUCGGAUGUGAAAUCCCGGGGCUCAACCCCGGAACUGCAUUCGAUACUGCUGCGCUAGAGUACUGGAGAGGAGAUUGGAAUUUACGGUGUAGCAGUGAAAUGCGUAGAUAUCGUAAGGAAGACCAGUGGCGAAGGCGGAUCUCUGGACAGUUACUGACACUGAGGCACGAAGGCCAGGGGAGCAAACGGG
Molecule: ribosomal RNA, 253 nt
Filed under: uncultured bacterium
Lineage: Bacteria
Description: partial 16S ribosomal RNA
Rfam family: Bacterial small subunit ribosomal RNA
Source: RNAcentral